UACGUAGGGGGCUAGCGUUGUCCGGAAUUAUUGGGCGUAAAGAGCUUGUAGGCGGUUUGUCGCGUCUGCUGUGAAAAUCCGGGGCUCAACCCCGGACUUGCAGUGGGUACGGGCAGACUAGAGUGUGGUAGGGGAGACUGGAAUUCCUGGUGUAGCGGUGAAAUGCGCAGAUAUCGAGGAGGAACACCGGUGGCGAAGGCGGGUCUCUGGGCCGUAACUGACGCUGGAGGA
Molecule: ribosomal RNA, 231 nt
Filed under: uncultured bacterium
Lineage: Bacteria
Description: partial 16S ribosomal RNA
Rfam family: Bacterial small subunit ribosomal RNA
Source: RNAcentral